This 88-nucleotide transfer RNA is filed under the name Plutella xylostella (diamondback moth). Its description in RNAcentral is "tRNA-Ser". The record is from RNAcentral. Lineage: Eukaryota; Metazoa; Arthropoda; Insecta; Lepidoptera; Plutellidae.
GACCGAAUGGCGUAGUGGUUAGUGACCCUGACUACUGAGCCCUUCGGCUUGAGGACCUUCGUCCCGGGUUCGAUUCCCGGCUGGGGCA